CGAACCACCUAAUCAAAUGAGUAAAUUAUUCAACCUCGCUUAUGCUCCCGAUUCUCGUUUCUUGGAUGCCGCACAGCAUCCUCGAUCGAUAAAAAAAAAUUUGCAGACUCUGUCUUCAAUGACUCACUAUCAUUAUCAUUAGCAUCAGUGUUGUCAUUGUUGUUAUUAACGAGAACGGGCUCCUAUUCAGGAAGAUUAUUCAACCCCUUUCCUAGUUUAUCUCCUAGAUCCGCACCCUUCCUGAAUUUUUGUUUGUGGGUUUAUGAGAGAGAACAAUUCCGCUUGGCGUAUAGAACAAACCUUCACAGAGGUCUCACAUAAUGACAUGGCAAGAAUGAAAAAAAUGAAGGUCAGAUAACGAGGCAGCUUUGAUUCUUCUCUUUUAAUUUCUCCCUAAUUCAAACAAAACCCUUCCCAACCUCUUCAUCCCCAUCUCCACCUUCCCUCACUAAUGAUAGUAGGAAAACGCCGUCGAAAUUAGCUUCGUCUCCGACCAACAACAAAGUCAAUGAAGAAGAAAAAGUGUGAACCGUGAAGUCGAAGAUUUGUCGACAUUGAAGAAGUUCGAACCUUGCUUCGAUCUUCGACCACAGUGAAGCAACCACCACGCCCAACUGAAGAAGACACCUCUUUCCGUCUAUACAUCUCAAGUUAGUGCUUCACAUCUAAUCUUUGAUCGUAUGCUGAAAUUUCUUUCACAACUAUGAAUUCACAGAACGAAAUUGCAAAUAACAGUUUGCGAAAAAUAAUGGAAGGAAUUAAAUGGUUAUUUAUUGUUUUUGUAAUUAAAAGUUGAAGAACAAAGGAGAUUGAUUAGAGAAAUCAAAUAUUGUUAUAGAACUGCAAUUUUAUGGAUUGAGAUAUUCGAAAUUGAAGAACAAAUGGGAUUGACAGAUUCAAAAUUGACAUUAGAUUUAUCGUAAGCUUAGUUAGAUAUAUUGUGGAACUGCAAUUUGAAAAAAAUUGAAAUGACAAUUUAAUUAUAGUGAUAAUGUUUAUGUUACCGAUUAUAGUUUAUUACAUAAAUUGAUAAUUUUAUUUAGGUGGAUGUUCACCAUCUCAGCAUGAGAGGAAGGAAUGUCGGAAUAUGUCACAGUUAUCGAAGCAAUUGACACUCAUUCGGGAAAUGCACGAGAAAGAGUCAUUGCCCCUGGUGUCCACAUGGAUUUCAGGAAUGUUUAGAGGUUGAAAAACAGACACUUAACAAAGGGCGAUUAUUCAACACUUGCAGUAACAACCGUGGUUUUUUCAAUUGGGUGGUGGAAGAAGAUUCAAGUGAACAAUGUAGCGAUGUCAACAAGCGAUGACUAUUGCGAAAAAUGAGGAAGUUCAAGAUUUGCCAAGUAUGCUCGAAACUAUAGCCCGAAUAAUCGACAAAUGAAACGUCCAGGUAUCAUUGCAUGUGACAUUCCGCAAGGGAAAACAAUGCUUGGAAUUGAAUGGGAAACAAAGAGGACUGGCUUGAUUAUUAGUAUUUCCGUCAAUGGGUUGUUUGGGUUAUAUUUGUAAUUUAAAGACUUGUGUAGCGUUAUUUUAUAUUUUGUAUCAAAUUAGAAUUUAUGUAAACUGCAUCUUAUGUUUCUUCGUUACAUUUUGUAAAUUCUAUGUGUUUGUUCGUAAACGAUGAAUGGUAG
RNAcentral lists this long non-coding RNA (1634 nucleotides) under Olea europaea subsp. europaea. Lineage: Eukaryota; Viridiplantae; Streptophyta; Magnoliopsida; Lamiales; Oleaceae. The record is from RNAcentral.